Chelonoidis abingdonii (Abingdon island giant tortoise) is the source of this 924-nucleotide non-coding RNA. Lineage: Eukaryota; Metazoa; Chordata; Testudines; Testudinidae. The record is from RefSeq and is a predicted model, not a curated record.
CCACGUGAAAGUUGGCAACUGUGCCCUGCGGUCCCCCCAAAAUCACACUCCUCUCUAAAUGACCACAGACUUGAUGAAUCUAAAAGAGAACCUGUGCAGUGCAGACCGCAGGGCCCCAGUGAUGCAUCCAAGACCUUUAGAAUGCAGAUGAGCUCCAUCCCCUUGUGCGAUUUCUCCUCGGGUGGUGCUGACAGCUGGGCUGCCCAGAGAUCUCCGCUCCUGAGCAGCAUGUCAGUGACGGUGACAGGCAGAUCCUGAAACUAUCGAUAAACGCUCAUUGGGUGCUGGAGUGUGUUGCUUUUAGAGAUCCCUCCCUAAAGAAGAGAAGGAAGACAACGUGGAUUAGCUCCUGAAGCGCCCUCUGCCCUGGCCUCCCAAGGAGGGUUGUUGCUGGGUUCACACUGGAGCUUUAUCAGGAUCUGCAUCCUUCCUCAGCAAGUUGGUCCAGUGCUUUGCUCCCUACUCAGCAGCUUAGUGCGCUCAGGUCUCUUUGAACUGUCUUUAAUGCUGAAGUGGCCCAUCACUGCUUGGUCUCUUCCUAUCCCAUGGCUUAGGGAUGGCUACUUGCACUACUGCGUUCAAAUAUCCUUCUUCAACAGGGUAACAAGAUUCAUGGGUGGUGGGAGCAGUAGGGGUGAUAUAUCUCGGCUUCUGAUACUGUCUCACGUGACCUUUUCAUAAGCAAACUAGAGAAAUAUACUGCACAACUGCUUGGAAAACCAUACUCAGAAAGAGUAACUAUCAGUGAUUCACAGUCCAGCUGGAAGGGCAUAGUGAGUGGGAUCUGGGUCUGGUUCUAUUCAAUAGCUCCAUACGUGAUUUGGAUAAUGGCAUAGACAGUACACUUACAAAGUCUGUAGAUGUUACCAAGCUGGGAGGGGUUGCAAGCACUUUGGAGAACAAGAUUAGACUUCAAAAUGAUCU